This 253-nucleotide ribosomal RNA is filed under the name uncultured bacterium. RNAcentral describes it as "partial 16S ribosomal RNA". It matches the Rfam family "Bacterial small subunit ribosomal RNA", at positions 524 to 776 of the family's 1533-position model. The record is from RNAcentral.
UACGUAGGGUGCGAGCGUUGUCCGGAAUUACUGGGCGUAAAGAGCUCGUAGGUGGUUUGUCGCGUUGUUCGUGAAAACUCACAGCUCAACUGUGGGCGUGCGGGCGAUACGGGCAGACUGGAGUACUGCAGGGGAGACUGGAAUUCCUGGUGUAGCGGUGGAAUGCGCAGAUAUCAGGAGGAACACCGGUGGCGAAGGCGGGUCUCUGGGCAGUAACUGACGCUGAACUGCGAAAGCUAGGGGAGCGAACGGG